This 207-nucleotide ribosomal RNA is filed under the name uncultured bacterium. Its description in RNAcentral is "partial 16S ribosomal RNA". It matches the Rfam family "Bacterial small subunit ribosomal RNA", at positions 568 to 774 of the family's 1533-position model. The record is from RNAcentral.
CGCGUAGGUGGUUCUGUAUGUCUACCGUGAAAGCGUACGGCUCAACCGUAUUUUGUCGGUGGAAACUGCAGGACUUGAGGCUGGGAGGGGCUGGUGGAAUUCCCUGUGUAGCGGUGAAAUGCGUAGAGAUGGGGGAGAACACUCGUGGCGAAGGCGGCCAGCUAGACCAGUUCUGACACUGAGGCGCGACAGCGUGGGGAGCAAACA